CCUACGGGAGGCUGCAGUGAGGAAUAUUGGUCAAUGGGCGAGAGCCUGAACCAGCCAAGUCGCGUGAGGGAGUACUGCCCUAUGGGUUGUAAACCUCUUUUGUCGGGGAGCAAAAGCCGGACGUGUCCGCCUUUGAGGGUACCCGAAGGAAAAGCAUCGGCUAACUCCGUGCCAGCCGCCGCGGUAAUACGGGGGAUGCGAGCGUUAUUCGGAUUUAUUGGGUUUUAAGGGUGCGCAGGCGGAUUUUUAAGUCAGCGGUAAAAUUGUGGGGCUCAACCCCAUCCAGCCGUUGAAACUGGUGAUCUAGAGUGAGCGAGAGGUAUGCGGAAUGCGUGGUGUAGCGGUGAAAUGCAUAGAUAUCACGCAGAACCCCGAUUGCGAAGGCAGCAUACCGGUGCACAACUGACGCUCAGGCACGAAAGCGUGGGUAUCGAACAGGAUUAGAUACCCUAGUAGUC
This 458-nucleotide ribosomal RNA is filed under the name uncultured bacterium. RNAcentral describes it as "partial 16S ribosomal RNA". It matches the Rfam family "Bacterial small subunit ribosomal RNA", at positions 338 to 795 of the family's 1533-position model. The record is from RNAcentral.